UACAGGGGGGGCAAGCGUUGUUCGGAAUUACUGGGCGUAAAGGGUCUGUAGGUGGCCAACUAAGUCAGACGUGAAAUCCCUCAGCUUAACUGGGGAACUGCGUCUGAUACUGGAUGGCUUGAGUGUGGGAGAGGAAUGCGGAAUUCCAGGUGUAGCGGUGAAAUGCGUAGAUAUCUGGAGGAACACCAGUAGCGAAGGCGGCUCGCUGGGCCACACCUGACGCUGAGACGCGAAAGCUAGGGGAGCGAACAGG
RNAcentral lists this ribosomal RNA (253 nucleotides) under uncultured bacterium. RNAcentral's name for it is "partial 16S ribosomal RNA". It matches the Rfam family "Bacterial small subunit ribosomal RNA", at positions 524 to 776 of the family's 1533-position model. The record is from RNAcentral.